Molecule: unclassified non-coding RNA, 399 nt
Filed under: soil metagenome
Description: partial contains 5.8S ribosomal RNA, internal transcribed spacer 2, and large subunit ribosomal RNA
Rfam family: 5.8S ribosomal RNA (bases 1-120)
Source: RNAcentral
GAUGAAGAACGUAGCGAAAUGCGAUACUUGGUGUGAAUUGCAGAAUCCCGUGAACCAUCGAGUCUUUGAACGCAAGUUGCGCCCGAAGCCUCGGCUAAGGGCACGUCUGCCUGGGCGUCACGCAUCGCGUCUCCCCCAAACCGCCAAGGCGGAGGGGAAGGAAGAUGGCUUCCCGUGCCUCACCCGGCGCGGUUGGCCUAAAUUUGGAGCCCGCGGCACUUAGCUCUCGCGGCGAUAGGUGGUGAACAAGGCCUUGGCCGUGCAAACAACCCGCUGCGAAGCUCUAUGUCACGUGCGCUCGUCGGACCCUUUGAAGUUGCCUUCGGUGACUUAAAACCUUUGCGACCCCAGGUCAGGCGGGGCUGCCCGCUGAAUUUAAGCAUAUCAAUAAGCGGAGGA